RNAcentral lists this ribosomal RNA (446 nucleotides) under uncultured organism. RNAcentral's name for it is "bacterial SSU rRNA". It matches the Rfam family "Bacterial small subunit ribosomal RNA", at positions 346 to 783 of the family's 1533-position model. The record is from RNAcentral.
GUGCAGCAGUCGAAAUUUUUCUCAAUGGGCGAAAGCCUGAAGGAGCGACGCCGCGUGGGGGAUGAAUGGCUUCGGCCCGUAAACCCCCGUCAUUUGCGAACAAAUUGACUCACCCAACACGUGUGUCAUUGAUUGUAGCGGAAGAGGAAGGGACGGCUAACUCUGUGCCAGCAGCCGCGGUAAUACAGAGGUCCCAAGCGUUGUUCGGAUUCACUGGGCGUAAAAGGGUGCGUAGGCGGUUGGGUAAGUCUGACGUGAAAUCUCCGGGCCUAACCCGGAAACUGCGUUGGAUACUAUCCGGCUAGAGGAAUGGAGGGGAGACUGGAAUACUUGGUGUAGCAGUGAAAUGCGUAGAUAUCAAGUGGAACACCAGUGGCGAAGGCGAGUCUCUGGACAUUUCCUGACGCUGAGGCACGAAAGCCAGGGGAGCAAAACGGGAUUAAGAU